Astatotilapia calliptera (eastern happy) is the source of this 1558-nucleotide long non-coding RNA. NCBI's taxonomy places the organism in Eukaryota, Metazoa, Chordata, Actinopteri, Cichliformes, Cichlidae. The record is from Ensembl.
CAUGGGUAUUCACAGACGCGGACUAAAGCUUUCUUGGCUGCUGCCUCAAAGCACACUGUGCGCUGUCUAUCUUGCGUGCUGCACAAUAUCGUUUAUUAUUUAGUAAAUAUUGAUAUCUAUGACUAGCUAGUUUAUUGUGAUGGUGCUUUGUUUUCUCUAUUAUUAUGUUGCUCUUUGUUGUUUGCUGUCUCCUCUGUUUGUUUUUUUUGUUUGUUUUUUUUUUUCUCCAUACAGGUGACCCAGGAGUUCUUUUUUUUUUUUCUCUCUCUUCCCCCCCCUUCUCACCGUCUCUUCUCCCCUUUGGUUUUCUUUCUUUCUCUCCCCCUCUUUCUCUCAUUCAUUCCCCCUGUCCUAUUUAUUUAAAAAAAAAAAAAAAAAAUGACAAAGGAUGAACUGAAGCUCUGCCAUCACGUAAUGUCGCAUACUGCUGUUUCUGAUGUCAUUUAGAAAAAAAAAGAAAAAAAAAAAAGAUAUGAUUUCAAAAUAGCGCUUUAUAAUUUGUUGACUUUUAAAAAUCUGUUUUAGACUUUUUUUUGAUGCCAUUAUAUACAUUAAUGUUUUUAGUUUGUAGGACUAACCAGUACCCUAAAUUAUGUGUUUGGAUUAUUAUUUAUUUGUGUGUGUAUGUUUGUUGUAUUUUGUUUGUUUGUUUGUUUGUUUGUUUUAAGGCCAGUGAUCCCGUCGAGCUCUGAUGAGGAUUGGGACAACACUGUGGAACAGCCAGAGACCUCACCACCAUCAGCAAUGGAGAAUAGACAUUCAAGUGAAACUCACUUCCUGAACAUCACUCAUCCAUUUGUUCAGCCGCUACAACCCUCAACUCCUUCACCUGUGGUUUCACAACCAGUUCCAAGACAACUUCUACAAGCCACCAAUACGAGCAUGUUUGUACGUGUUCUAACCCUCCUGGAAGACAUUAAGGACACUCAGAGGGUCCACAGUCGAAUGCUACAGUCUCUCCUUACACAACGUGAUGGACCAGUUGCUGCAGUAUUACCCGAGGGUGCUGUAUUUCCCAUCCGGACAGUAGCAGAUGUGGCAGCACUGGAGCAAAAACUGGCAGACCCUGUCUUCCUAAAAGAAGUGGUUGCUGUUGUGGCAGAGAUCAGAGGGAGCACUGUUGAUGAAGCCACAAGAAGAAUGAUGGCCUUCAUUAUGGACAAUGCUCUUUCCAGGCAAUAUAACUUCGUUGGGUGCCAUGGAAAGCGGGAAUUUCGAGGGCUUAAAGUUUUUGAAGUGCUAUAUGGACCAAUGGAUUGGUGAAUGAGUGAGAAGCUGUGGUUUGCUGCAUUUGUUUUUCCUUUAAACGGUAUAACAUUUAUUUGUUAUUGUUUUGUGUAUACUGUGGACAUUUUUGUCAACAUGUUCUCCAAACAAAAAAUGUAUUAUAUAAAAAAGCAUACUGUUUUAAAAUUUCAUAGUAAUCAGUAUUAAUAAAAAAGAUAAACUGGCUUUGUUGUACAGGUGAUUUAAAUUAUAGCUUACUUACAUUAUCCAAAAUUCCAUCUGGGCAAACACACUUGGGGCCACCAUGGAAACUGAGGACAAAAAUAGCUGG